Molecule: ribosomal RNA, 254 nt
Filed under: uncultured bacterium
Lineage: Bacteria
Description: partial 16S ribosomal RNA
Rfam family: Bacterial small subunit ribosomal RNA
Source: RNAcentral
UACGAAGGGUGCAAGCGUUACUCGGAAUUACUGGGCGUAAAGGGCGCGUAGGCGGUCGUGACAAGUCACUUGUGAAAUCUCCGGGCUUAACUCGGAACGGUCAAGUGAUACUGUCGGACUAGAGUACAGAAGGGGCAACUGGAAUUCUCGGUGUAGCGGUGAAAUGCGUAGAUAUCGAGAGGAACACCUGCGGCGAAGGCGGGUUGCUGGGCUGAUACUGACGCUGAGGCGCGAAAGCCAGGGGAGCGAACGGG